This 888-nucleotide ribosomal RNA is filed under the name uncultured organism. RNAcentral's name for it is "bacterial SSU rRNA". It matches the Rfam family "Bacterial small subunit ribosomal RNA", at positions 38 to 917 of the family's 1533-position model. The record is from RNAcentral.
AGCUACAGGCUUAACACAUGCAAGUCGAGGGGCAGCAUGGACCCAGCUUUGCUGGGUUUGAUGGCGACCGGCGCACGGGUGAGUAACGCGUAUCCAACCUGCCCUUUACUCCGGGAUAGUCUCCUGAAAGGGAGUUUAAUACCGGAUGUGUUUGUCUUUCCGCAUGGGAGCGACAAAUAAAGAUUGAUUGGUAAAGGAUGGGGAUGCGUCCCAUUAGCUUGUUGGCGGGGUAACGGCCCACCAAGGCGACGAUGGGUAGGGGUUCUGAGAGGAAGGUCCCCCACAUUGGAACUGAGACACGGUCCAAACUCCUACGGGAGGCAGCAGUGAGGAAUAUUGGUCAAUGGGCGGGAGCCUGAACCAGCCAAGUAGCGUGAAGGACGACGGCCCUACGGGUUGUAAACUUCUUUUAUAAGGGAAUAAAGUUCGCCACGUGUGGUGUUUUGUAUGUACCUUAUGAAUAAGCAUCGGCUAAUUCCGUGCCAGCAGCCGCGGUAAUACGGAAGAUGCGAGCGUUAUCCGGAUUUAUUGGGUUUAAAGGGAGCGUAGGCGGGCUUUUAAGUCAGCGGUCAAAUGUCACGGCUCAACCGUGGCCAGCCGUUGAAACUGCAAGCCUUGAGUCUGCACAGGGCACAUGGAAUUCGUGGUGUAGCGGUGAAAUGCUUAGAUAUCACGAAGAACUCCGAUCGCGAAGGCAUUGUGCCGGGGCAUAACUGACGCUGAGGCUCGAAAGUGCGGGUAUCAAACAGGAUUAGAUACCCUGGUAGUCCGCACGGUAAACGAUGAAUGCUCGCUAUGGGCGAUAUAUUGUCCGUGGCCAAGCGAAAGCGUUAAGCAUUCCACCUGGGGAGUACGCCGGCAACGGUGCAACUCAAAGGAAUUGAAGGA